Callorhinus ursinus (northern fur seal) is the source of this 3049-nucleotide long non-coding RNA. RefSeq lists it as uncharacterized. The record is from RefSeq and is a predicted model, not a curated record. Lineage: Eukaryota; Metazoa; Chordata; Mammalia; Carnivora; Otariidae.
AAUCAUAUGCUCAACUAACUGAGCCCCCCAGGUGCCCCUGAGCUUCCAUUUUAAUACGUGUGAUUCUCCACUCUAUUUUGGAACCACCACAAACCAAAAACAGGAUAAUUAAAAUGCACCAAGGCCCAAAGGGGGCUGGGUUCUGACUGCUACUCUGUCCUGUGGCCAAAUAGAAAAGCUUAUCGUAUUCACCUCUCUGUCUCCCGUGUCUAGUGCCUCGGUUGGUGAGAGUGUGUAUCAAGUGUCUCUCAAACAAAUGAAAGAAUAUUGAUUUAUUUGUGUGAGCACUACCGUGUGCCAGGCCCCAUUCAGCAGUCCAAGCCCAGCUACCUGCUCAGUUAUAUUCCAGUGCAGAAUUAAGCAACUGAGGGAACCUAUAAAUAGAAACUCUAGCAGGUGUUGAUAAGAACUAACAGGAAAGUAAAGCAGGAUAAGUGGACAGAGUCACAGGGAACGAAGUGGAAGGUAUUUAGGGUCAUCAGGGAAGGUUUAUCAGUCAGGACUAACUGGUGUUUCAACAGAGAGACUUAAUACAAGGAACUGACUAAGCAGGUGAUGCAAGAGCUGAAAACCUGUACGAGAGACCGCAAGGUAACUGAGGGGUUAGCAACAGCUCGACCAACAGAGGGAGGUGGUAAUGUCCCUGGAGCCCAGGGAUGAGUCACGGGGUGGACGCUGGUGCCAUGCUAGGACUGUCUAGCAGGAGCUGGGACCCCAGAUGGAGGGCCUGUCUGUGGGACCUGGGGUCUCAGAGGAGACACAGUGAUUGUCAGAAACACAGCCUGAAGAGCGAGACAGAGACCCCGGCUCCUUCCCCGCCUGCCUGCCUUCAGGCUUCUACCCAUAGGAUGGGACACAAUGUCUGUUUCUCUCACUGUGAUAUUAGCAGUCAUUAAUCAUCAUUGCCUAGCCCUAGAUCCGUUAAUUCAUUAGUGGUUAUAAAAUGGUAGGUUUAAAAGUUCUAGCAUUUCUUUCAUUUAGCAUUUGGAAUACUCCUAUAAAAAUGAACUUCCCUUCCUCCACUAUUUGCUUGCCCUGUGGUUCAGUCUGUGUAGGGAAGGCAGGAUAAAUGCGGGAUUCUCCCUCUUCUCCCUUUUUUAACCAGUUUUCGAAGCACUGGUUCGAGAGGAUACCUAGAAUCUUCUAGAGGUCUCCACUGUGAACUCAUGGAUUGAAAUACUCACAUAAUAAAUGUGUUUCAUUUGUCAUCUUUAUCAGCGCUACUGAUGAAGUAGCUUUGUUGGUCAUCUCAUGUUUGGCCAUCGUGAGCCUGUUCACAAAAAGGCUCCUGAACUCCUGAAAUUUUUGACCCAACCUUAGUGGACUUCCUUGUUUUGGUCUCACGUUACACAUUCCUGCCGCAGACCCAAGAUCAACCAUUUCUCCAAGGAGCCUGCCCUUGUUUGAGUGUUAAAUGGUGUUUAGGAGCCAAAGUCUGUUGAGUUGCUCACUGCUCCUGGGUUGAUCAUUGUUUCCAGGCUUUUUGAGUGGGCAGAGCUAAGAAGUAAAUAUUUUUAAAAGAUAAACACAUCAAAAGUUCAUACUGAUGCUUCAAAUUCAACUUCUGGGCGACAGGGUUUUAUUUCAUUUCAGCAACCGUGCAUCUGUCUCCUUUUUUCCCAUGAUGAAAAAGCCUAACUCUGAAAGAAAGCAACUUAAUGACUCAUUGGCUUUAUGCCAUAACACACACAUAACAGUUGCAAAAUAACAGUACUACCAGCACAGUUAAAGAUUAUAAGGCUUCAUUUCCCUGCUAAAUGAGGUUUCUAUCACACCUUUAACGUUUCUUUUCUGUAUAUCUGGAGACCUUGUCAUAGGGUUGUCAUUGGUGGAAGCUUUCUAGCAGACCAUGAAUCUUCUGGACUAUGUCUUGGAAAAGUGCACCUUUCUGGCACAAAGCAUGUUGGUAGCUCCUUUCAUGAAUAGAAAAGAUUGUGCUUUGUUCCUGUCUCUGGGAAGCCAUUUAUUAAAGAUAUGCUAAAUCAGAAUCAGUGGUCUGCUAGAAAGAGUUCUGGCUAAUAAUACCAUGACUUUGUUUUCUUGAUUAAAAUGUCCAGAUAUACCCAGGGAAAAGGUCCUGUUAAACUGUGUAUAGGAGCUACAGUUUAAAAAAGCAGUUAAAUUUUAACAAGCAUUUUGGCAGGUAGGUAUAAGGUUAAAAUUUGAGCAAAAGUUAGAUUGAGGUAUUUGAGGUAGUGGCUGAGGGGACUAGUUUGUAUUCUGUUGGUAUUGUCACAGCAAGCACCAAACUGAACAAAAUGAUUUCUAUUGGGGCAUUUUUAGGAAGCUAUAUUGGGUGUUAACUGUUAACGUGAUGUGAGUUCUUAGGAAAGGUCAUGGUAGUAGAUUUCAUCAUUUUUAAUGCAUCAGUGCCUGAGCUGGGUAGCUAAGCAUACCCAGAUUCGGACAUAGGAAGGAGUAGUAGGGAAAAGUAUACUUUAAAUUUUAUGUAUGUCAGUGCAAAUCUAAGUGACUAAGUCAUUAAAACAUCUUCCUGGUGCAUCAAAAAGCAGUUUUAGCCCUAGAUUUGGGAGAAUUUCCUGGGUAAACCCAAGUUUUGAAUUUUACAUUCAGUGCAAUUGGAUUUAAGGUUUUUAAGUUUGUUUUCUGUGGUUCCACAUUAGCCACUAGGAUUGGCAUACAUGUUCACACGCAGAGUAGUUGACUUCACCUUCAAACAAAUGUAAAUUUUUUUCUGCUGAUGAACCUGUCUUUUGUUUAUUUGGUACCUGCAACUUUCUUUGUUCAAUGAUGUUUGUACUUGCUGGCUAUCAAGUUACAAUGCACUUGGCCUCCUUUUGCUCCUGUUUUGCUAUUUGACCUUAAACCUAGGCCAAGUACCAAUGUUGGUUAUUGCAAAGGACUGUUUAUUAUUUCAACAUGCAACCUUAGGGAACAAGGGAGAUUUUCAUUUUAAGUUGUUGUCAAAAUCUGUAGGUGCAGUGUCUUUAAGGCAGUGAAUCCUGUUCAAAUUUAUGAUUAGGUGAGAAGUUGACAUUGAGAUUGUCCUUUCCCUGAUCAAAAAUGAAUAAAGGCUUUUUAAACAAAA